Molecule: ribosomal RNA, 1530 nt
Filed under: Escherichia coli HVH 193 (4-3331423)
Lineage: Bacteria; Pseudomonadati; Pseudomonadota; Gammaproteobacteria; Enterobacterales; Enterobacteriaceae
Description: bacterial SSU rRNA
Rfam family: Bacterial small subunit ribosomal RNA
Source: RNAcentral
AGAGUUUGAUCAUGGCUCAGAUUGAACGCUGGCGGCAGGCCUAACACAUGCAAGUCGAACGGUAACAGGAAGCAGCUUGCUGCUUUGCUGACGAGUGGCGGACGGGUGAGUAAUGUCUGGGAAGCUGCCUGAUGGAGGGGGAUAACUACUGGAAACGGUAGCUAAUACCGCAUAACGUCGCAAGACCAAAGAGGGGGACCUUCGGGCCUCUUGCCAUCGGAUGUGCCCAGAUGGGAUUAGCUAGUAGGUGGGGUAACGGCUCACCUAGGCGACGAUCCCUAGCUGGUCUGAGAGGAUGACCAGCCACACUGGAACUGAGACACGGUCCAGACUCCUACGGGAGGCAGCAGUGGGGAAUAUUGCACAAUGGGCGCAAGCCUGAUGCAGCCAUGCCGCGUGUAUGAAGAAGGCCUUCGGGUUGUAAAGUACUUUCAGCGGGGAGGAAGGGAGUAAAGUUAAUACCUUUGCUCAUUGACGUUACCCGCAGAAGAAGCACCGGCUAACUCCGUGCCAGCAGCCGCGGUAAUACGGAGGGUGCAAGCGUUAAUCGGAAUUACUGGGCGUAAAGCGCACGCAGGCGGUUUGUUAAGUCAGAUGUGAAAUCCCCGGGCUCAACCUGGGAACUGCAUCUGAUACUGGCAAGCUUGAGUCUCGUAGAGGGGGGUAGAAUUCCAGGUGUAGCGGUGAAAUGCGUAGAGAUCUGGAGGAAUACCGGUGGCGAAGGCGGCCCCCUGGACGAAGACUGACGCUCAGGUGCGAAAGCGUGGGGAGCAAACAGGAUUAGAUACCCUGGUAGUCCACGCCGUAAACGAUGUCGACUUGGAGGUUGUGCCCUUGAGGCGUGGCUUCCGGAGCUAACGCGUUAAGUCGACCGCCUGGGGAGUACGGCCGCAAGGUUAAAACUCAAAUGAAUUGACGGGGGCCCGCACAAGCGGUGGAGCAUGUGGUUUAAUUCGAUGCAACGCGAAGAACCUUACCUGGUCUUGACAUCCACGGAAGUUUUCAGAGAUGAGAAUGUGCCUUCGGGAACCGUGAGACAGGUGCUGCAUGGCUGUCGUCAGCUCGUGUUGUGAAAUGUUGGGUUAAGUCCCGCAACGAGCGCAACCCUUAUCCUUUGUUGCCAGCGGUCCGGCCGGGAACUCAAAGGAGACUGCCAGUGAUAAACUGGAGGAAGGUGGGGAUGACGUCAAGUCAUCAUGGCCCUUACGACCAGGGCUACACACGUGCUACAAUGGCGCAUACAAAGAGAAGCGACCUCGCGAGAGCAAGCGGACCUCAUAAAGUGCGUCGUAGUCCGGAUUGGAGUCUGCAACUCGACUCCAUGAAGUCGGAAUCGCUAGUAAUCGUGGAUCAGAAUGCCACGGUGAAUACGUUCCCGGGCCUUGUACACACCGCCCGUCACACCAUGGGAGUGGGUUGCAAAAGAAGUAGGUAGCUUAACCUUCGGGAGGGCGCUUACCACUUUGUGAUUCAUGACUGGGGUGAAGUCGUAACAAGGUAACCGUAGGGGAACCUGCGGUUGGAUCACCU